CAACCGUCGUAAAACAAGCCUCGUGCCAUAUACUGACGAUCAAACGUGAAAUAUUUCUCACGUCUAAAAGUAAACAAGAGCCAUGUGUUCGGAUAACAAGAACAAUUAAACAUUUACUUCGUCUAAAAGUAUUAAGUUUAGAAAUCAUGAAUCUUGUGAUCGGAUAGCGAGGUUCUUAUCCAUUUGCAGAGGAUGUGGCAAUUCCUUUCUCUACCUCCUGCGCCAUAGGAUUAUACCAAGGAGACUCGCCACCACCUUCUUUGGUUUCGUUGACAAAAACAACACUCACUGAAAGUUUCAAUUUCAACACAGUGGUGGAAGCGAAGGCGAAAGCCAAGGCUAAGGCUUGAUUUUUGCAAGAUAAAUAAUGUGAGAUGCGGUUCUUGAUUUUUACGGGAUCUUUUGAGGUGGUUGGCGAAGCGGAUUUGUGGCGGGACGACGCUGAUCUGUUUGGCCGCUGCUGUUGGUUCUUGAUCAUUGGAGAUGGGGCUAGGAUUUGAGUCCAGUUCUCAUAGAUCUACCUAAGGAAUUCUGGAGUUGUGGGAGCAUUAUGUUGAGGAAUUAGAGGAUAAUACAUGAAUUGAUUUUUGUAUUGGCUUGCCUUUUAUUUUAGAUUUUUGUACUAGCUCGAUGAGAUUUAGCAAUAAUUGGUA
Molecule: long non-coding RNA, 653 nt
Organism: Populus euphratica (Euphrates poplar)
Lineage: Eukaryota; Viridiplantae; Streptophyta; Magnoliopsida; Malpighiales; Salicaceae
Exons: 2
Source: RefSeq, a predicted model, not a curated record